GAUGAAGAACGCAGCGAAAUGCGAUACGUAAUGUGAAUUGCAGAAUUCAGUGAAUCAUCGAAUCUUUGAACGCAUAUUGCGCUCUCUGGUAUUCCGGAGAGCAUGCUUGUUUGAGUAUCAGUAAACACCUCAACUUCCAUAUCUUUUUUGAAAUGGGAGUUGGACUUGAGUGAUCCCAACGCUUUUCCUCACCGAAAAGUGGCGGGUUACUUGAAAUGCAGGUGCAGCUGGACUUUUCUCUGAGCUAUAAGCAUAUCUAUUUAGUCUGCCUAAAAAACAGAUUAUUACCUUUGCUGCAGCUAACAUAAAGGAGAUUAGUUCUUGUGCUGACUGAUGCAGGAUACACAAAGACAGGCUUCGGCCGACUUUGUAAACUCGAUCUCAAAUCAAGUAAGACUACCCGCUGAACUUAAGCAUAUCAAUAAGCGGAGGA
RNAcentral lists this unclassified non-coding RNA (433 nucleotides) under soil metagenome. RNAcentral describes it as "partial contains 5.8S ribosomal RNA, internal transcribed spacer 2, and large subunit ribosomal RNA". The stretch from base 1 to 120 matches the Rfam family "5.8S ribosomal RNA", at positions 35 to 154 of the family's 154-position model. The record is from RNAcentral.